Molecule: ribosomal RNA, 253 nt
Filed under: uncultured bacterium
Lineage: Bacteria
Description: partial 16S ribosomal RNA
Rfam family: Bacterial small subunit ribosomal RNA
Source: RNAcentral
UACAGAGGUGGCAAGCGUUGUUCGGAAUUACUGGGCGUAAAGGGCGCGUAGGCGGUUUCGUAAGUCCUGUGUGAAAUCCCCCGGCUCAACUGGGGAACUGCACAGGAAACUGCGAGGCUUGAGUUCGGGAGAGGGAAGCGGAAUUCCGGGUGUAGCGGUGAAAUGCGUAGAUAUCCGGAGGAACCCCGGUGGCGAAGGCGGCUUCCUGGACCGACACUGACGCUGAGGCGCGAAAGCCAGGGGAGCAAACGGG